Mytilus trossulus (common blue mussel) is the source of this 430-nucleotide long non-coding RNA. RefSeq lists it as uncharacterized. Lineage: Eukaryota; Metazoa; Mollusca; Bivalvia; Mytilida; Mytilidae. The transcript is spliced from 4 exons. The record is from RefSeq and is a predicted model, not a curated record.
UUGCAGGAGAAGGUUACUCCAAAGGGAAUACAAGAUGCUGAAAAGAAAAAAAAAAGGUUAAGACUGUGAAAAACAAAAAGGCAGCCAAAACACCUGAACAUGCAGAAGAUAUUAAAGUAAACAAGAAAAAAAAAGGAAAUGAAAAAAAGACAACAUCAGAGAAAAUGAAAAGUAUGCUGGAAAUGGCAAAGACAAUGCCAUUCGCAAGAGAAAAUUCAGAAGCUAAUCUAGAAGAAGAGGACAUUAUACCAUCAUCCGAGUCAAUUUCAGAGUCUAGUAAUUAGGAAGAGUCAGAGAAAGAAGAAGACAGGGCUAUAGUAACACCUCAGCAGUAUCAACAGAUAGUUGAACGUAACAGAAUGGACAGUGCCAAGUUCCUAGUUUCACUUAGAUUUCCCAAACUUACAAUGAAGAAAGGUUCAGCUAAAAG